This 505-nucleotide ribosomal RNA is filed under the name uncultured bacterium. Its description in RNAcentral is "partial 16S ribosomal RNA". It matches the Rfam family "Bacterial small subunit ribosomal RNA", at positions 28 to 507 of the family's 1533-position model. The record is from RNAcentral.
GACGAACGCUGGCGGCGUGCCUAAUACAUGCAAGUAGAACGCACAGUUUAUACCGUAGCUUGCUACACCAUAGACUGUGAGUUGCGAACGGGUGAGUAACGCGUAGGUAACCUGCCUGGUAGCGGGGGAUAACUAUUGGAAACGAUAGCUAAUACCGCAUAAUAUUGAUUAUUGCAUGAUAAUUGAUUGAAAGAUGCUAUUGCAUCACUACCAGAUGGACCUGCGUUGUAUUAGCUAGUAGGUGAGGUAACGGCUCACCUAGGCGACGAUACAUAGCCGACCUGAGAGGGUGAUCGGCCACACUGGGAGUGAGACACGGCCCAGACGCCUACGGGAGGCAGCAGUAGGGAAUCUUCGGCAAUGGACGAAAGUCUGACCGAGCAACGCCGCGUGAGUGAAGAAGGUGUUCGGAUCGUAAAGCUCUGUUGUAAGAGAAGAACGGGUGUGAGAGUGGAAAGUUCACACUGUGACGGUAUCUUACCAGAAAGAGACGGCUAACUACGUG